CCUACGGGGGGCAGCAGUGAGGAAUAUUGGUCAAUGGGCGCGAGCCUGAACCAGCCAAGUCGCGUGGAGGAUGAAGGUUUUCGGAUUGUAAACUACUUUUGUUAGAGAAGAUAAUGACGGUAUCUAACGAAUAAGCACCGGCUAACUCCGUGCCAGCAGCCGCGGUAAUACGGAGGGUGCAAGCGUUAGUCGGAAUCACUGGGCGUAAAGAGCGCGUAGGCGGGAUAGCAAGUCAGAUGUGAAAUCCUAUGGCUUAACCAGAGAACUGCAUUUGAAACUGGUAUUCUAGAGUAUGGGAGAGGGAGGUAGAAUUCUUGGUGUAGGGGUAAAAUCCGUAGAGAUCAAGAGGAAUACUCAUUGCGAAGGCGACCUGCUAGAACAUAACUGACGCUGAUGUGCGAAAGCGUGGGGAGCAAACAGGAUUAGAUACCCUAGUAGUC
RNAcentral lists this ribosomal RNA (440 nucleotides) under uncultured bacterium. RNAcentral describes it as "partial 16S ribosomal RNA". It matches the Rfam family "Bacterial small subunit ribosomal RNA", at positions 338 to 795 of the family's 1533-position model. The record is from RNAcentral.